GCGAAUGUGGCGGAAUUGGCAGACGCGCUAGAUUUAGGAUCUAGUUACUUCGGUAGUGGGGGUUCGACUCCCCCCAUUCGCACCA
This 85-nucleotide transfer RNA is filed under the name Planctomycetota bacterium. Its description in RNAcentral is "Planctomycetes bacterium (marine metagenome) tRNA-Leu". It matches the Rfam family "tRNA". Rfam says of the family: Transfer RNA (tRNA) molecules are approximately 80 nucleotides in length. Their secondary structure includes four short double-helical elements and three loops (D, anti-codon, and T loops). Further hydrogen bonds mediate the characteristic L-shaped molecular structure. tRNAs have two regions of fundamental functional importance: the anti-codon, which is responsible for specific mRNA codon recognition, and the 3' end, to which the tRNAs corresponding amino acid is attached (by aminoacyl-tRNA synthetases). tRNAs cope with the degeneracy of the genetic code in two manners: having more than one tRNA (with a specific anti-codon) for a particular amino acid; and 'wobble' base-pairing, i.e. permitting non-standard base-pairing at the 3rd anti-codon position. The record is from RNAcentral. Lineage: Bacteria; Pseudomonadati; Planctomycetota.